This 229-nucleotide long non-coding RNA is filed under the name Lathyrus oleraceus (garden pea). RNAcentral's name for it is "Pisum sativum (pea) long non-coding RNA (PSAT_LNC019539)". The record is from RNAcentral. Lineage: Eukaryota; Viridiplantae; Streptophyta; Magnoliopsida; Fabales; Fabaceae.
AAAAAUCAACAAACAAUGAGAAAACAAAGAACUAAUUCAGCAAUGCGCAGUAACAAAUAGGAAAAUACUAACAAUGUUCCUAUUAAGCAAAAACAAUGGAAAUAUGGAGAAAACAAAAUUAAACUAAAAGAAAAAAAUACAAAAACACGAAAAUUAAUCUAAUAAAGUCAAUUAAGAAUUUUAAGAUUUUUUUCAGAAUUUUCUGAAACUAUCAAAAUAGAAAACAAAU